RNAcentral lists this long non-coding RNA (3298 nucleotides) under Oncorhynchus kisutch (coho salmon). RNAcentral describes it as "lncRNA (ENSOKIG00005004204.1)". Lineage: Eukaryota; Metazoa; Chordata; Actinopteri; Salmoniformes; Salmonidae. The record is from RNAcentral.
AUGUUCAAUAAAGAGACGAAUAAACUUUCUCAGCAUUUCUAUGAUUGCUGCAAACACUGCAAAUGCCUUAAAAAAAAAAGAUAUCAAGCUUUCAGGACCUUACCGUCUCUUCUUCGCAGUUAUUCAGAUUAUCGCGAGAUGUGGAGGUUGUUCACGGGUGUUUCAUGUUUCUCGCAGUUUGAAUCCACGAUCUUUAUAAGCUUUGGACUUUCCCCCUGCACUGUCAGAGCGUCCCACCAGAGGCGUAUAGAGCAGCAAUUCUAUGCAAUGAUUCGGAUGUUCAUUAUACAGAGUAAUACAUGAGUUGAUAACCUCGCACAGCCUGCAGAUGGGUCAACAAUUUUCUGGAGAAGUUAUGUUAUGGAUCAUAAGACUAUGGGGCAAAUAAAGUGUUUUAUCUGUACAUUAACAUGCUUUAAAAUUUAUAUUUGAAUGUUGUGCACUUAAUUGAGUCAAGUGGAGGGGCUGUGGUUUUACAAAUAGCAUAUUUUAAUUGCUGUGUAAAUCAACCUUAACCAACCCACUUAUCCUUAACCUUUAGCCAACAUAGGGAUGUCUGGAACACUGACCUGUUGUUUUGAUAUGGAUUUUCAUUUGAUCAUACUCACAUUAAUGUAUAACCUAAAAGGUCUUUGUACAUUUAAUAAAUAAACAAUUACUUAUUGGUUUCUGAUCACUUCAUGUGAAGUGGGCAGACAAUAAGAUAGAGAACUUUGCUAUGCUAUAAGAGGUGUACCAGGCUAACGACAGUCGAAGUCAGAAGUUUACAUACACCUUAGCCAAAUACAUUUGAACUCAGUUUUUCAUAAUUCCUGACAUUUAAUCCUAGUAAAAAUUCCAUGUCUUAGGUCAGUUAGGAUCACCACUUUAUUUUAAGAAUGUGAAAUGCCAAAAUAAUAGUAGAGAGAAUUAUUUCAGCUUUUAUUUCUUUCUUUCAGGAUUGAGGUCAGGGCUUUGUGAUGGCCACUCCAAUACCUUGACUUUGUGGUCCUUAAGCCAUUUUGCCACAACAUUGAAGUAUGCUUGGGGUCAUUGUCCAUUUGGAAGACCCAUUUGCGACCAAACUAACGUCUUGAGAUAUUGCUUCAAUAUAUCAACAAUUUUUCUUGCCUCAUGAUGCCAUCUAUUUUGUGAAGUGCACCAGUCCCUCCUGCAGAAAAGCACCCCAACAACAUUAUGCUGUCACCCCUGUGCUUCACAGUUGGGAUGGUGUUCUUCAGCUUGCAAGCCUCCCCCUUUUCCCUCCAAACAUAACAAUGGUCAUUAUGGCCAAACAGUUCUAUUUUUGUUUCAUCAGACCAGAGGACAUUUCUCAAAAAGUUCGAUCUUUGUCUCCAUGUGCAGUUGCAAACCAUAGUCUGGCUUUUUUAUGGUGGUUUUGGAGCAGUGGCUUCUUCCUUUCUGAGCGGCCUUUCAGGUUGUGUCGAUAUAGGACUAGUUUUACUGUGGAUAUAGAUACUUUUGUACCCGUUUCCUCCAGCAUCUUCACAAGGUCCUUUGCUGCUGUUCUGGGAUUGAGUCGCACUUUUCAAACCAAAAUACGUUAAUCUCUAGGAGACAGAACGCGUCUCCUUCCUGAGCGGUAUGACAGCUGCGUGGUCCCAUGGUGUUUGUACUGAUGAACGUGGUACCUUCAGGCGUUUGGAAAUUGCUCCCAAUUUUCCAAAGUGUUUAAAGGCACUGUCAACUUAGUGUAUGUAAACUUCUGACCCACUAGAAUUGUGAUACAGUGAGUUUUAAAUGAACUAAUCUGUCUGUAAACAAUUGUUGGAAAAAUUACUUGUCGUGUGUAACAGUAUAACUUUAGUCCGUCCCUCUCCUCGCUCCAACCUGGGCUCGAACCAGGGACCCUCUGCACACAUCAACAGUCACCCUUGAAGCAUCGUUACCCAUCGCUCCACAAAAGCCGCAGCCCUUGCACAGCAAGGGGAACCACUACUUCAAGGUCUCAGAGCGAGUGACGUCACUGAUUGAAACGCUAUUAGCACACACCACCGCUAACUAGCUAGCCAUUUCACAUCGGUUACACUCACCCCCCUUUUCAGCAGAAACCAGUGAUCCGGGUCAACAGCAUCAAUGUAACAGUAUAACUAGUCCGUCCCAUCGCCGGGCUCGAUGGCAGUCAGUAUCUAAACAAUGUGUGUGAAAUGCUUGAUAGUGUAUGUGAUGUAAACAGAGGUCUACUUUCUUGGGGACCUGAAUUUUGACUGGUUUUCAUCAAGCUGUCCACUCAAGGGAAAGCUUCUCACUGUAAUCAGUGCCUGUAAUCUGGUUCAGGUUAUUAAUCAACCUACCAGGAUGGUUACAAACACUACAGGAACAAGAUCAUCCACAUGUGUCUAACACAUUUUUACUAAUACUGUAGAACUUUGUUCUAAAGCUGUAUUCGACCCAUUGGAUGUAGUGAUCCAGGAAAUAUCCAGGAAAGCCAAAGUUCAAAAUGCUGGGCCUAAAAUAGUAUAUAAGAGAUCAUAUAACUUAUUUUUUUGUGACUUUUAUGUGGAUGAUGUUAAAAAUAUUUGUUGGUUUGACGUGAUUAAUAAGGAGCAUCCAGAAGCUGCACUUGAUGAAUUUAUGAAAUUCCUUCUUCCAAUUAUUGAUAAACAUGCACCUGUUAAGAAACUGACCGUUACAACUGUUAAGGCUCCAUGGAUUGACGAGGAAUUGAAAAACUGUAUGGUUGAAAGAGAUGGGGCAAAAGGAGUGGCUAAUAAAUCUGGCUGCACAUCUUACUGGCUGACUUACUGAACAUUUAGAAAUUGUGACUAAACUCAACAAAAACAAGAAUAAACUGUAUUAUGAAGCCAAGAUUAACGAUAUAAAGAAUGAUGGGAAAAAACUUGAGUAUUUCAAAUUAAAUUAUGGGCAGAAAGACAAAUUCAACAACUCAUCACAUCAGAUGGCUUUUUCAUUACAAAACCAUUUGAUGUUGCCAGUUAUUUUAAUGAUUACUUCAUUGGCAAAGUGGGCCAACGUUGGCAGGAAAUGCCAACAACGAACAGUGAACCAUCGUAUUCGUGCUUAAAAAAGCAAAUAAUGAAAGAAAAGCAUUGCAUGUUAGAAUUUUGUAAAGUCAGUGUGGGAGAGGUGGAAAAUUAUUAUUAUCAAUCAAUAAUGACAAACCUCCUGGCAUUGACAACUUGAAUGGAAAGCUACUCAGGAUGGUAGCUGAUGCUAUAGCCACUCCUGUCAUGUCUAAUCUGAGUUUAGAGGAAAGUCUUUGUCCUCAGGCCUGGAAGAAAGCCAAAGUAAUUCCUACCCAAGAGUGGUAAAACGGCCUUUACUGGUUUUAACAGCA